This 440-nucleotide ribosomal RNA is filed under the name uncultured bacterium. RNAcentral describes it as "partial 16S ribosomal RNA". It matches the Rfam family "Bacterial small subunit ribosomal RNA", at positions 338 to 795 of the family's 1533-position model. The record is from RNAcentral.
CCUACGGGAGGCAGCAGUGGGGAAUAUUGCACAAUGGGGGGAACCCUGAUGCAGCGACGCCGCGUGGGUGAGGAAGUACUUCGGUAUGUAAAGCCCUAUCAGCAGGGAAGAAAAUGACGGUACCUGACUAAGAAGCCACGGCUAACUACGUGCCAGCAGCCGCGGUAAUACGUAGGGGGCAAGCGUUAUCCGGAUUUAUUGGGUGUAAAGGGAGAGUAGACGGCGUGCAUAGUCUGAUGGUAAAGGCCAGGGCUCAACCCCAGGACUGCAUUGGACACUGGCAAGCUGGAGUGCCGGAGCGGCAAGCGGAAGUACUAGUGUAGCGGUGAAAUGCGUAGAUAUUAGGAGGAACACCGGUGGCGAAGGCGGCUUGCUGGACGGUAACUGACGUUGAGGCUCGAAAGCGUGGGGAGCAAACAGGAUUAGAUACCCCUGUAGUC